Microcebus murinus (gray mouse lemur) is the source of this 88-nucleotide small nucleolar RNA. Ensembl annotates it as small nucleolar RNA, C/D box 35B. Its record names the gene SNORD35B. NCBI's taxonomy places the organism in Eukaryota, Metazoa, Chordata, Mammalia, Primates, Cheirogaleidae. The record is from Ensembl.
GGCAGAUGAUGUCUGUUUUCACGAUGGUCUUCAGAUGCCCACCACGGGCACUGCUGAGGAAGCCACUUGGUAAAACUGAUGCCAGCAA